RNAcentral lists this long non-coding RNA (674 nucleotides) under Monodelphis domestica (gray short-tailed opossum). Its description in RNAcentral is "lncRNA (ENSMODG00000041757.1)". The record is from RNAcentral. Lineage: Eukaryota; Metazoa; Chordata; Mammalia; Didelphimorphia; Didelphidae.
CUGGGAGCCACAAGUGAGAGCUGGGUGUCAGGUAGGGGUCAGAGGCUGGAGAGCUGCCCUAGGAGGGCACGACAAGCCCUCCAUACCAAGGUGCUACCCCUCCCUGAGCACCCAAAGAAAUUAAAGCACAGGGGAAGAAAAAGAAAAGGAAAGGAAAGAACAUCAACAAGCAGGAAAGGAACCAGAGGAGAGCAUCUAGGAGAUGGACCAGCUGAGGAAAGAAAUGAGGUGCUUCAGCAACCCAGAGGUGGAACAACAGAUUGCAGAGAAGCCAAUUGCUAGUUACCCGAGAUGCCUACAAAUAAGUAUGCUAUGAUGGACGUAUACAGGACAAGCACUGACUUUACUAUUCCAAAAAAUCCAGAGGUGCCAUGAUUCCUGUGAGUACUGCAGCUGAAAUGACCCUGGAGUGGCAAUGGAGGAAUGCUGUUGGAAUCUUUACAACAGAAGCCACCCACAAGAUGAUUGUUUGGAGUGUGCCCAAACUACAAUAGUCAAGUACCAAAGAUGUUAGGGCAAUGCCAAGAUGAGUUAAAACAUAAAAUGGGUAACAAGCAAGCCAUAUCAAAAAUAGUACUAUAUUAUGAUAAGGCUUAAGUAUUAGUUUCUCAGUGAUGGUAAACACAUUAUGAAAUGGGUUAUUGAAUUAUAUUCUAAUCAUUCUCCUGCUGUAC